GGACCUUUAGCUCCGUUGGUCAGAUCUCUCGGAUCAUAACCGAUCGCUCGUUGGCUCGAGCCCAACAAGGUCCA
RNAcentral lists this transfer RNA (74 nucleotides) under Pseudolactococcus raffinolactis. RNAcentral describes it as "Lactococcus raffinolactis tRNA-Ile". Lineage: Bacteria; Bacillati; Bacillota; Bacilli; Lactobacillales; Streptococcaceae. The record is from RNAcentral.